This 254-nucleotide ribosomal RNA is filed under the name uncultured bacterium. Its description in RNAcentral is "partial 16S ribosomal RNA". It matches the Rfam family "Bacterial small subunit ribosomal RNA", at positions 524 to 776 of the family's 1533-position model. The record is from RNAcentral.
UACGGAGGGUGCAAGCGUUAUUCGGAAUUACUGGGUUUAAAGGGUGCGUAGGCGGUUAUAUAAGUUGUCAGUGAAAGGCUACGGCUCAACUGUAGUAGUGCUGGCGAUACUGUAUAACUAAGAACAUGGGAGGGGUACCUGGAAUGUGUGGUGUAGCGGUGAAAUGCAUAGAUAUCACACAGAACACCGGAGGCGAAGGCGGGGUACUAGACCAUAGUUGACGCUGAGGCACGAAAGCGUGGGGAGCAAACAGG